AUGUGGGGCACUGCCCUCCCUGGCUCUGCCUGGGGCCCCAGCCUGCUCUGCUGUGUCACUAUCUUUCUCCUGGGAACAAGUUCAGCAAAUCCCGGGGUCAUCCAGUCUCCAAGACACAUAAUCAAAGCAAAGGGAGGAAGGUCCUUUCUCAAAUGCAUUCCCAUCUCUGGACAUGCCAGUGUGUUCUGGUACCAGCAGACUCUGGGGAAAAAAAUGACAUUCCUCGUUCAGCAUUAUGAAAAAGCGGAAGGAGAGAAAGGAAACAUACCCAACCGAUUCUCAGUCCAGCAGUUCAGUGACUAUCACUCUGAGAUGAACAUGAGCGCCUUGCAGCUGGAGGACUCUGCUGUGUACUUCUGUGCCAGCUCACCACAGCCUCACAGAGUCACUGGCUUUCUGUCCUUUUAUCUUUCUGCUCCCACUGCCAAGAAGGAAAAGAUAGAAGAGGAGAAGAUAGAAGAGGAAAAAGAGGAAGAGCAGGGGACAAAUGAGAAAGUGUAA
Molecule: non-coding RNA, 501 nt
Organism: Chionomys nivalis (European snow vole)
Lineage: Eukaryota; Metazoa; Chordata; Mammalia; Rodentia; Cricetidae
Source: the annotation of a RefSeq genome assembly